Molecule: long non-coding RNA, 866 nt
Filed under: Olea europaea subsp. europaea
Lineage: Eukaryota; Viridiplantae; Streptophyta; Magnoliopsida; Lamiales; Oleaceae
Source: RNAcentral
AUAUAGGUAAGGUCAAAAUGAAAUGUCAUUAAUUUAUGUUGCAUCAGUUCAAUCUUGAAACAUCUAGUCUAGGAUUAGCAAACGAAAUGUUAUGAGAAAAUUCGAAAGCACAUUGCAUCUGUUCAAAUGAGAAUUUGUCAUUGUACAACGUUAAUUUUCAUCAUCCAUCCCUUCGACAUAUUUUACCGAGAUUUCAAGAUCAAGGCUAUGGAAACGUGCUCGAAUCACCUAACUCGCCAUUCCAACUUUGAUUAUUAUUCAAGCAAGAUUCAAUAAAAUUGACAAGCUUAAAUCAGAAACCAUAUUUUACAUUUUCCAUUAUACAAAAGCUUCCAUCCAUCACAAUUUCCCUUCUUAUUAUUACAAAAUUCAUAAUGAAUGUUACGAUGAGUUCACAAAAGUCCGCCAACUUUAAUCGACAAAAAUAUGUAUAAUAAAACAUAAAACUGAAAGAAACAUAAGAACGCAAAGGAACACUAUAUUUUUCGCCCUAAGAUAAGAGGUUCAGAACUAGAGUUCCUAAUCCCCUUUUGAGCUUCCGCCACCGGAAGAAAUCACUAUAUUAAUGGAAUCGACGAAACCAUCCAGCAAAUACAACUCAUGGCACUUAGAUAAUCACUCAAGAUUCUUUCAAAAUUAGCCCCUCUUUUGAUGCAAUCAUUCACUCAAGAAUCACAACUUCACAAUAUACAAAUGACUCAAGAUUUAUUCAAACUGGAAGUUUCAGAUCAAGGAGGCUUUCUGGACUGAUUUUGGAGAUGGGAGAUGUACAGCUUCAGUUAGAGUUCGAGAGGUAGGGAAUGAGAAUCAUAUCAAAAGUCUCACAGCCAGAAACCCUAAUGAGAGUCAUAUAGAAGACCCUAGAA